AAGACCUUGCGCUUUUGGAGCGGCCGAUGUCUGAUUAGCUUGUUGGUAAGGUAAAAGCUUACCAAGGCUUCGAUCAGUAGCUGGUCUGAGAGGACGGCCAGCCACACUGGGACUGAGACACGGCCCAGACUCCUACGGGAGGCAGCAGUGGGGAAUUUUGGACAAUGGGGGCAACCCUGAUCCAGCCAUGCCGCGUGAGUGAAGAAGGCCUUCGGGUUGUAAGGCUCUUUCAGCCGGAACGAAACGGUUACGGUUAAUACCCGUGACUACUGACGGUACCGGAAGAAGAAGCACCGGCUAACUACGUGCCAGCAGCCGCGGUAAUACGUAGGGUGCGAGCGUUAAUCGGAAUUACUGGGCGUAAAGCGUGCGCAGGUGGUUUUGUAAGUCAGAUGUGAAAGCCCCGGGCUCAACCUGGGAACU
This 423-nucleotide ribosomal RNA is filed under the name uncultured bacterium. Its description in RNAcentral is "bacterial SSU rRNA". It matches the Rfam family "Bacterial small subunit ribosomal RNA", at positions 207 to 622 of the family's 1533-position model. The record is from RNAcentral.